This 813-nucleotide long non-coding RNA is filed under the name Brassica rapa (field mustard). RNAcentral's name for it is "long non-coding RNA (BRAP_LNC005818)". Lineage: Eukaryota; Viridiplantae; Streptophyta; Magnoliopsida; Brassicales; Brassicaceae. The record is from RNAcentral.
ACUGUUCAAAACAAUUUUUCAAACACUAAUCUUGGUACAAUAAGCAAGCAACUUGAUAGGAUUGAAAAGUCAAUCCAAAAUCAAAACCCCAUUCCAAUGGAGUCUCCUUCUGAAAAGAAAAGCAAAAGUCCCAUGUUUAAACAUUUCCAAAUUUCCAAUUCAAGUGUCAAAACUUACCAAGACACAAACCUUGAAUUCAUUCGUGCCCUCCAAAGUCAAUUAAGUAAAGCUGAAAUAGGAGAUAGUAGCAUGCCACAUAUUUCUGAUAUCCCCAAUACUCCUACUUCCAAAAUCCAAAUAAACACUAUAGCCAAUGAUUCAGACAUUAGUGAAUGUUCUGAUCAAAAUUCUGUCCCAAAAAUAAACCGUCUUGAUUGGCAAAACCAUCUAGAUCGUCAAUUAAUCCCAGCCCGUUAUCUAGGACAAAUCCAACCAGUAGAGCAAUCUCGGUUUAACUCAUAAUCAGUCUAUGACUGGAAUAUUGAUGGUAUAUCUGAAAAUAACAUUUUAAGUUUCCUUCUAAAAAUGACAAUGGCCGCAAACGCCUAUAGAACCCAAAUAGGAAAUGAGGAUAAAACCGUAGCUGAAUUCCUCAUAGCUGGCUUUUCGGGACAGCUUAAAGGAUGGUGGGAUAAUUACCUAACCAAUCAGCAACGAGCAGAAAUCCUAGAUUCAAUUAAAACGGAUGAAGAUAAUGUACCAAUCCUAGAUAAUCUCGGAAAUCCUCAACAAGAUGUUGUUGCUACUUUAGUCAUAGCCAUAACCUUGCAUUUUAUAGGAGAUCCCUCGGUCCUUAGAGAUAAAAAUGCUGAA